RNAcentral lists this ribosomal RNA (105 nucleotides) under uncultured bacterium. RNAcentral's name for it is "partial 16S ribosomal RNA". It matches the Rfam family "Bacterial small subunit ribosomal RNA", at positions 1367 to 1482 of the family's 1533-position model. The record is from RNAcentral.
UACGUUCCCGGGCCUUGUACACACCGCCCGUCAAGCCAUGAAGCUGGAAGUGCCUGAAGUGCGUAACCGCAAGGAGCGUCCUAGGGUAAGUCGGUAACUGGGGCU